Molecule: long non-coding RNA, 366 nt
Filed under: Brassica napus (rape)
Lineage: Eukaryota; Viridiplantae; Streptophyta; Magnoliopsida; Brassicales; Brassicaceae
Description: long non-coding RNA (BNAP_LNC000649)
Source: RNAcentral
AAAAUUAUUUUUAUUAUUUUUAUAUUUUAUUUAAAUAAUAAUUUAUUAUAUAUAUAGAUAACAAGGGUAUAAGAGUCUUUUGCCAUUUAAUGAAGAAGAUAUUUUUGAAAAUGUCCCUUUAGUGGUGGUAAAUAAGAAAAGUGGUAUCAUGAAAGUGUUAAACAUAAAAUUUCCCCAAAUGUAUUAAAAUAUUGUUUUAGUAUAAUCAAAACUAGCAAAUUAUGAGCAAGUAUUGCAUUAUGGACAAAAUCAAUUCUUGAUCAAUGAUAAAAUCAUAUAUAGUUUGCUAAAUUUUCACAUUUGAAAGUCUCAAAUAUCCAUCACAAACACAACCUUAAAUCUUUCUCCUUUUCCCUACUCUCACUC